This is a long non-coding RNA of Gossypium arboreum, 388 nucleotides long. RefSeq lists it as uncharacterized. The record is from RefSeq and is a predicted model, not a curated record. The transcript has 2 exons. NCBI's taxonomy places the organism in Eukaryota, Viridiplantae, Streptophyta, Magnoliopsida, Malvales, Malvaceae.
CUUUUAGUUCUCCCCUUUUUUACUUGUUGGAGGCUAGUUCCAAAAACGAAAAGACAAGGGUUCAACCCCCUUUUUAGACUCAACCACGCCGAACGGAGGGGAAGGCUCCGAUAACGCGGCGGCGGGGCCGGAUCUGGUGUUGAAGUUGUGGAGAACGAGGGGCGUGAAACAUGGGCGAAAACAUGGAGCGGGGUAUACGGGGAUCCUGUCUGGAGUGCUGACGUGGGGGUUGAGUUUGUAGUCUGCUAAAAAUUUUUGAGAUAGUGGGCUGGUAGGGUUAAUUUAGGUUGUGGGCUGAUGGGGUUUUAAUUUGGGCCAUGUAUUAUUAAUUAAACUGUUUUAUUAUUAUUAUUAUUAUUAUUGAUUUGGCCUCGGGCUAAGGUUGAAA